RNAcentral lists this long non-coding RNA (1485 nucleotides) under Homo sapiens (human). RNAcentral describes it as "HSALNT0121121". Lineage: Eukaryota; Metazoa; Chordata; Mammalia; Primates; Hominidae. The record is from RNAcentral.
UUGUAUAUUUUCUGCUCCAGUGCUAGAAUCAGCCAUUUCUCCAAUGAGCUUUUGGGAGAUAUUUGCUUUCUUGAUUACAGUUAGGAUUUUCUCAUAAGGGAAGUUUGUUGAUGGCCUGCAAACAAAUAGUAAAAUAGUAUGUGAUGUCAUGAAAAUUAAUUGUAUUUUUCCUUCUAGAUUUUGCAUAUAGAAGACGGUAAUUUUAAAAACAGUGAAAGAAGAAAUGUAUCUGAGAAUUCAAUCAGUCAAUAGACUUUAGGCAUCUGAAAAGAAAACACAAGAGGUUCGGUUGGUGCAAUGUUCCUUUCUUCCCAGGACUUUCUGGUCUUCAAGGCUUUCUCAUGAGACAGAAGACUGAUGGAUGUAGAAGUUUCUAAGAGGACAGUUACGCUGCCAUGUUUUGAAGCAGGAAGACGUUACCACUUCUCAAAGGUCUUUAAUUGCCUGACCACUGCUUCUCUUUGGAAGGCUGUCAGGGUGAUGGAAUCUCAGAUCACAGCACAGAUAAAAUGGACAAAGAAAGAAAGAUACAAGAAGGAUGUAAAAAUGUCCAUAAUGAACUCAUGUAUCUUGCGGAAACCUCUAAUCUAAUGAGAAUGGAUUUUGUUGAGAAGAUUGUACACCAACAAUUAAUUAUUCAUGGCAGAGACAUCAUUAAGAUUUCAUUUUGUUUAAAGGCCUCUAAGUGACUUAGGAAAUUAGGUUAAGCUAGAGAAGAAUUUCAAGAAAGAGACAAGGGAAAGCUUUUCGUUAUAUUGACUUUUUCUAAUAUUUUCCAGAUAGAUAUUUUGACUUGGUACAUAAAUUAUACUCUGACUAAAAAUCUCCAAUGAUUUGUCUGAGUAAGAGUCUUCACAUGGGUGGAUCAUAUACCAGUGUGGUCAGAUGGAAGCAGAUGGACAGAGAUUUGUGAAAGGAUUAGGAGGUUCAUUCCAGAAUUCUAUAAUAAUUCAAUUUGGCUUUUUGGUUAGGAAUGUAGUGAGGAGUCUCCUUGAAAUGACAAUGGGAUUUGUGCAACCUGUGACAUUUUGCACUCAAGGAUCCUUUUCCCAGUGCCCUAUGGGAUGUGAGCACCUGUUCACUUACAGUACAUGUAAGAUAAGACACUUUUAAUAAAAACUCUGGAGACCUGGUGUAGUAUAGGCCCUAUGCCUGCUUAUCUUAAAGACAAACACCAGAAACUGGUGUCACGUUGUGAGUUCAAUGUGAGAUUGAUUCAAAACAUAAAGCUAGAGAUCUAGUGUAAAUUUUCAGAGGGAUAUUGAUUACAGGAUCAAUUUCUAUGGGCAAUUAAUGCAGGGGUUUGGUUUAUGUUUGAAUUCCAAGCACCCAGUGGUAUUCAAAAAUAGCAUCCAAUUUUACAUAAAAUGUAAAAUUACAUUUUGUGUUCGAUUUGGGCACCCUGUCAUGAUUUACAAUAAAGGUUUGGGCUUUUGUUUUCUUGUUCCUUCAUUAGAAAGGUUAGAACUUGCCUUUCCUCCAUGA